This 497-nucleotide ribosomal RNA is filed under the name uncultured bacterium. Its description in RNAcentral is "partial 16S ribosomal RNA". It matches the Rfam family "Bacterial small subunit ribosomal RNA", at positions 28 to 507 of the family's 1533-position model. The record is from RNAcentral.
GAUGAACGCUGGCGGCGUGCCUAAUACAUGCAAGUCGAGCGAACGGACGAGAAGCUUGCUUCUCUGAUGUUAGCGGCGGACGGGUGAGUAACACGUGUAUAACCUACCUAUAAGACUGGGAUAACUUCGGGAAACCGGAGCUAAUACCGGAGAAUAUUUUGAACCGCAUGGUUCAAAAGUGAAAGACGGUCUUGCUGUCACUUAUAGAUGGAUCCGCGCUGCAUUAGCUAGUUGGUAAGGUAACGGCUUACCAAGGCAACGAUGCAUAGCCGAACUGAGAGGGUGAUCGGCCGCCCUGGAACGGAGCCACGGUCCAGACUCCUACGGGAGGGAGCAGUAGGGAAUCUUCCGCAAUGGGCGAAAGCCUGACGGAGCAACGCCGCGUGAGUGAUGAAGGUCUUCGGAUCGUAAAACUCUGUUAUGAGGGAAGAACAUAUGUGUAAGUAACUGUGCACAUCUUGACGGUACCUAAUCAGAAAGCCACGGCUAACUACGUG